This 81-nucleotide non-coding RNA is filed under the name Hyphomicrobiales bacterium. Lineage: Bacteria; Pseudomonadati; Pseudomonadota; Alphaproteobacteria; Hyphomicrobiales. The record is from RNAcentral.
AAAUGAAUACGUGGUGAUUUGAGCCAGUCGGCUUGCGUCCACGUGAAAAAAAAUCGCUAAAAAUGACUGGGGGAUACCCGG